CCUACAGUCCGUCUCUUCAUCUUGUCCUUACCACAGAAGGAGCAGGUGUACUUGGCAUGCUGGCUGACUUCAAUUUUCUUCACCAUUUUCCAGAGUGAGGCAUCAUGUGACUUUUGAAGGAAUAUAAGAGGGUCCUGAAGAGCCAAGGAAAGAGGUGUGUCAAGAUUCAUGGUUCCCUGUCCAGCGUCUUGUUCAACAUGGGCCACAC
This 208-nucleotide long non-coding RNA is filed under the name Chinchilla lanigera (long-tailed chinchilla). RNAcentral's name for it is "lncRNA (ENSCLAG00000023638.1)". The record is from RNAcentral. Lineage: Eukaryota; Metazoa; Chordata; Mammalia; Rodentia; Chinchillidae.